RNAcentral lists this ribosomal RNA (492 nucleotides) under uncultured bacterium. RNAcentral describes it as "partial 16S ribosomal RNA". It matches the Rfam family "Bacterial small subunit ribosomal RNA", at positions 29 to 507 of the family's 1533-position model. The record is from RNAcentral.
AGUGAACGCUGGCGGUAGGCCUAACACAUGCAAGUCGAACGGCAGCACAGUAAGAGCUUGCUCUUACGGGUGGCGAGUGGCGGACGGGUGAGGAAUACAUCGGAAUCUACUUUUUCGUGGGGGAUAACGUAGGGAAACUUACGCUAAUACCGCAUACGACCUACGGGUGAAAGCAGGGGAUCUUCGGACCUUGCGCGAUUGAAUGAGCCGAUGUCGGAUUAGCUAGUUGGAGGGGUAAAGGCCCACCAAGGCAACGAUCCGUAGCUGGUCUGAGAGGAUGAGGGGCGGCACGGGAAAUGGAAGGCGGUCCAGACUCCUGCGGGAGGAACCAUGCGGGAUUAGUGAGCAAUGCGCGCAAGUGUGAUGGAGCAAUGGUGGGGGAGGGAUGAAGUUCUUCGGAUCCUAAAACUUUCUUAUUAGGAAAGAACAAAUGUGUAAGUAUAUAUGCACGUCUUGACGGUACCUAAUCAGAAAACAACGGCUAACUACGUG